This 166-nucleotide ribosomal RNA is filed under the name Stenotrophomonas maltophilia. Its description in RNAcentral is "partial 23S ribosomal RNA". It matches the Rfam family "Bacterial large subunit ribosomal RNA", at positions 1 to 165 of the family's 2925-position model. The record is from RNAcentral. Lineage: Bacteria; Pseudomonadati; Pseudomonadota; Gammaproteobacteria; Lysobacterales; Lysobacteraceae.
GUUAUAUGGUCAAGCGAAUAAGCGCACACGGUGGAUGCCUUGGCGGUCAGAGGCGAUGAAGGACGUGGCAGCCUGCGAAAAGUAUCGGGGAGCUGGCAACAAGCUUUGAUCCGGUAAUGUCCGAAUGGGGAAACCCACCCGCUUGCGGGUAUCUGUCUCAACACAU